This is a non-coding RNA of Prunus mume (Japanese apricot), 731 nucleotides long. The record is from RefSeq and is a predicted model, not a curated record. NCBI's taxonomy places the organism in Eukaryota, Viridiplantae, Streptophyta, Magnoliopsida, Rosales, Rosaceae.
UUCUCUCUUUCUUCUCUCUCUCCUCUCUCUCUUUAUUCUUCCUCUUUCUGCGGGUUGUCUUUCAGUUAAUCUCUAUCUCAUGGUUUCAGUUGGAUCAGAUUAGAUCUAUACCAAUUCAUGGAGACUGCCGUGGUAAACAAGGAAGAGAUCGGGGGCUAGGAGAGGAUCUUAAUAGAGAAGGUUUGAAGAAGAUGCCUCUUCAUGUUGCCAAGGGGAAGGGACAAAGGCAAGAUGGAGCAUUUUUUGGCUCUUGUUUUCACUGGAAGAUGGAAUAGUUUGAAUGUUUUGUAAUUUUAUUUGUAAUUAUAUUUGAUAUAUGUGUUUUUGUUUUGUUAUUAGGUUGUAAUUUUAAAUUUAAUGUUUGCUAGAUUUUGUUUGGGAUGAUUGGAUGGGAAUUGGGCUAAUUGUGAAUUUGUAAGCCCAAAAGUUUUUAAAAAUUCAGUUGGGCUUAAAUUUCUGAAAAUUCAAGAAAAAAAAAAAAUUGGGCUCAAGAUCCGGUCUAAACUAGAAAACCGGAAAUCGAACCGGAUAUAAACCGGUCCGGGUUGGUCCGAUUUUCUAAGGCAUUUUAAUGAAAAAUCGGACCGAACCGAACCAGAUGAACAGUGCCGAUUUCGAUUUCGGGUUUAAGGGAGAGCCGGACCGAACCGGACCGUGCCCACUCCUAACACCAAUCAAACAAAUCAAGCCCAACGACUACUCAAAUGCACCCUUUUAUCAUGUAGUUCAUA